UCCUGGUUUCAGUUUAGUUAAACAUUCACCAGGAUCGUGUCGCAGGUGUUUUUCUCUCCGUGUCAACCUCCGUCUGAAGGUAAUGAAGCAGUUUUGAAUGUUUUCUUGGUGAACAUCAGCUGUCAGCAGCUCAGCUCCAACAGAAGCAGCAGAAAUCUGCUGAACUUGACGUUAAACUGAGUCAAAGCUGAAAGGUAGAAAGUUGAUGUGGAUUCAGCAGCAUGGACCAGAGGGAGGACAAAGAGGAGGGAGACAGACAUCUGCAGGACGGGUUGACUGGUUUCAGUCAUUCAUCUGAUCCCAGCUGUGUUUCCCUCAGGAGUGAUCAGUCACAACAUCGUCACAUUGGUUUUAGAUUGCAUCAACCCUCUGCUCAUGAGAGGAUCAGUCCAGACCCCAGCUGUGUGUCUCUCAACAGUGAUCGGUCCAAUGAUCGAGCCAUUGAUUUUAAAGGACAUCAACCCUCUGCUCCUGAGAGGUAAACCAGUGUCCAGCUUCAUCCAUGAGUCAGAGGAGACUAGCUCCUUUCUACAGUUUCCACUUUAACCUGUGGAGGUUGAUUUGAGAAGCAGGCUUUGGAUCAUAGGACACUGGUUUGAAUGGUAACUGACAGGUAGAACAUGUGUGUGGGUGGAGUGAAGAGGCCAUAUCCAUGGCUGCAGUAGCUAU
This is a long non-coding RNA of Mugil cephalus (flathead mullet), 669 nucleotides long. RefSeq lists it as uncharacterized. The record is from RefSeq and is a predicted model, not a curated record. The transcript is spliced from 3 exons. Lineage: Eukaryota; Metazoa; Chordata; Actinopteri; Mugiliformes; Mugilidae.